This 497-nucleotide ribosomal RNA is filed under the name uncultured bacterium. Its description in RNAcentral is "partial 16S ribosomal RNA". It matches the Rfam family "Bacterial small subunit ribosomal RNA", at positions 28 to 507 of the family's 1533-position model. The record is from RNAcentral.
GAUGAACGCUGGCGGCGUGCCUAAUACAUGCAAGUCGAGCGAACAGACGAGGAUUUUGCUCCUCUGACGUUAGCGGCGGACGGGUGAGUAACACGUGGAUACCCUACCUAUAAGACUGGGAUAACUUCGGGAAACCGGAGCUAAUACCGGAUAAUAUAUUGAACCGCAUGGUUCAAUAGUGAAAGACGGUUUUGCUGUCACUAAUAGAUGGUUCCGCGCCGCAGUAGCUAGUUGGUAAGGAAACGGCUUACCAAGGCAACGAUGCGUAGCCGACCUGAGAGGGUGAUCGGCCACACUGGAACUGAGACACGGUCCAGACUCCUACGGGAGGCAGCAGUAGGGAAUCUUCGGCAAUGGGCGAAAGCUUGACGGAGCAACGCCGCGUGAGUGAUGAAGGUCUUCGGAUCGUAAAGCUCUGUUAUUUGGGAAGAACAAAAGUGAGAGUAACUAUGCACGUCUUGACGGUACCUAAACAGAAAGCCACGGCUAACUUCGUG